Hypoxylon sp. FL0890 is the source of this 107-nucleotide non-coding RNA. The record is from the annotation of a GenBank genome assembly. NCBI's taxonomy places the organism in Eukaryota, Fungi, Ascomycota, Sordariomycetes, Xylariales, Hypoxylaceae.
GACUGCUUGGCGCAAUGGUAGCGCGCGGUCCUCCUAUUACUGCGGUUUAUCCGUCGGAAAUAGGUAGUGAAAGACUGAGGUUGCGGGUUCGAGUCCCGUGGUGGUCG